CAGCCAACCGUGGGUGAUCUCCCGCUUCCAACGAACAGGGCUCUGUUAAACUAAAUCCAAACCAGCAGCAUCCAUCCAUGAAUCCGAUUCCACCACUGCCAGCAGCUCCCCUGUUACGAGUAUCCCAUUUUCAUCGCCUACCGAACUCAAGAUCCAUUUGAUCCCAGCAUCCCAACCACUGCCAGCAACUCCAACGUCUUCCGGAUCAUCAUCAUCCAAGCAUUCCCUUCCGCAUUGUUCUCCCAGCAAAACAAUAUCAUCUCCCAGCCGUCCCAGAUCCCGUUCAGAAUCCAAACUCCCACGUCUCCGUAUUCAUCAUCCUCCUAGCAAAACAGCCUUGCAUCUGCUCCCAAGCUUGAUCCGAGUUCCUCCCGAGCUUCACGGCAUCCAACCGCAUCCUCCCCUAUUUCAAACAGAGUUAUCAUCCCGUUAGCAUCCCAAAUCUCCCAACCGUUUCCAUUCAGCAACAUCCCAUGCAUCCGAGAUCUUCUCAGCUUGCACAUUCAUCCCCUGCUUCGGAAUAAAGAAAUCCAACGCCAACCGUACGCAUCUUCCUCCGCUAAGAUCCCAGCCUUCCUGUUCUUAUCCACGGACAAGUUCACAAGUGAUCCUAUCAACACCACCCGCAUGAGAUUCCUUCUUCCGGAUAAGAUCAUCUCCC
RNAcentral lists this long non-coding RNA (661 nucleotides) under Phoenix dactylifera (date palm). Its description in RNAcentral is "long non-coding RNA (PDAC_LNC019829)". Lineage: Eukaryota; Viridiplantae; Streptophyta; Magnoliopsida; Arecales; Arecaceae. The record is from RNAcentral.